AAGGCACUUUGCUUUGCGGGCUUCUUCAUUUACUUCAACUAGCUCAAAAUAUUCCCAAAUAGGCGAUCUAGCUUUAGGACCACGAGGCAUAGUUGAACCUACAAAAAAAAAAGAAAAUAUCACAAGUUAGUAAAAUAUUUUUAAUUAUAAAUAACAAAAGGAAUAAAGGAUAUCAUAAAACAAGCAAAUCUUUAAACUUACCACGUGUUAAAACUAUGCAUCAACAAUGCUAGUAUCUCUUUCAACUAUGCAAGUCUCUCUUCCGCUCUUUGCCAUAUCUAAAUAUAAGUUGAUAAAGUGUGUCAUUUAAACUUACAAAGUAAACUAAUUUUUACUAAAACACUCAUAAAACACAAAAACUUACCAAGUUCAAUUUGCUCAAGAAACUCCAAAUCUUCUUCAACAUUAAUAGGAGUACCCUCACAUCUAAACCAAUCUUGAACACAAACAAGACUUUGC
This 459-nucleotide long non-coding RNA is filed under the name Nicotiana tabacum (common tobacco). RNAcentral's name for it is "long non-coding RNA (NTAB_LNC012075)". Lineage: Eukaryota; Viridiplantae; Streptophyta; Magnoliopsida; Solanales; Solanaceae. The record is from RNAcentral.